This 857-nucleotide ribosomal RNA is filed under the name Paragyromitra infula. RNAcentral describes it as "Gyromitra infula partial large subunit ribosomal RNA". It matches the Rfam family "Eukaryotic large subunit ribosomal RNA", at positions 71 to 941 of the family's 3401-position model. Lineage: Eukaryota; Fungi; Ascomycota; Pezizomycetes; Pezizales; Discinaceae. The record is from RNAcentral.
GGGAUUGCCUCAGUAACGGCGAGUGAAGCGGCAACAGCUCAAAUUUUAAAGCUGGCGUCUUCGACGCCCGCGUUGUAAUUUGGAGAGGCAUCUUCGGUUUGGGCGCCAGCCUAUGUUCCUUGGAACAGGACGUCACAGAGGGUGAGAAUCCCGUGCUUGGCUGGCUGUCCCUUGCCAUGUGAAGUGCCUUCGACGAGUCGAGUUGUUUGGGAAUGCAGCUCAAAAUGGGUGGUAAAUUCCAUCUAAAGCUAAAUAUUGGCGGGAGACCGAUAGCGCACAAGUAGAGUGAUCGAAAGAUGAAAAGCACUUUGAAAAUAGAGUUAAAAAGUACGUGAAAUUGUUGAAAGGGAAGCGCUUGAGACCAGACUCGGCCGGAGAUGAUCAGCCGUCCUUCUGGGCGGUGCACUUGUCUCCGGUCGGGCCAGCAUCGGUUGAGACGGCGGGAUAAAGGCCCGGGGAAUGUGGCUCCUUUCGGGGAGUGUUAUAGCCCCGGACGCAAUGCCGCCAGCCUCGACCGAGGACCGCGCUUUUUGCUAGGAUGCUGGCGUAAUGGUCUUCAGCGACCCGUCUUGAAACACGGACCAAGGAGUCUAACAUCUAUGCGAGUGUUUGGGUGUCAAACCCUUGCGCGUAAUGAAAGUGAACGGAGGUGGGAACCCCCUCGCGGGGCGCACCAUCGACCGGUCCUGAUGUCUUCGGAUGGAUCUGAGUAGGAGCAUAGCUGUUGGGACCCGAAAGAUGGUGAACUAUGCCUGAAUAGGGUGAAGCCAGAGGAAACUCUGGUGGAGGCUCGCAGCGGUUCUGACGUGCAAAUCGAUCGUCAAAUUUGGGUAUAGGGGCGAAAGACUAAUCGAACC